Small nuclear RNA from Panthera leo (lion), 108 nucleotides. Lineage: Eukaryota; Metazoa; Chordata; Mammalia; Carnivora; Felidae. The record is from Ensembl.
GUGCUCGCUUCGGCAGCACAUAUACUAAAAUUGGAACGAUACAGAGAAGAUUAGCAUGGCCCCUGCGCAAGGGAGAAUAAAAGGAGCAUUGAGGUGUACAGAAUUCAU